GAUCUUCUUGAUACCUCCAAGAGCUGCAUGCACAGCCAGAUGUAAUAGACUCUGCAGGUGAAAAUUCUGAAAAUACUUAUCUGCAUACAAGCAUAACUUCAGAUCUCCUGAGAUGUUGGCUCCUGCAAGAAUGCCAGUUGCAGCUGGGAAAAAGAUGGCAAACACUGAGAAAAAUCCUUCUCCACUUCUGAAAUCUGGUCCAAAGUUUUCUGCAAAUAUUGAUGCUGCAAAUACAGGUGAAAAUGUAAAGGAAUAGCAGAAAUCAUCCGAGAUUAUGGAAUGGACAGAAAAUGGAGCUUUCCUGCUAGGCAGAGCUUUGGAGCAACAGAGAUGCCAAGAAGACAUACAACAGUUAUGGUACCUAUUAUUCUGAUAUCAUUGGACUCAUCUACCAUUAUCGAAUCACUCUCCUGAAAAGAUGAAAAUAUUUGCUCAUCUUCUAAGGAGGUAGCUGAAACGUAAGGGGUAUUAUGAAGAAUUAUACUGGAAGGAAUUAAAUUGAAGAUAUCCACCGAUCUGCAUCAGACUUAAAAAUAAGAGGAAGAGUGCGGUGCUUGUUUUGUCCAAGGAUGUCCAACCUGAAAGGCUCUGAAUAAGAAAGACCUGCUGAAAGAACAGGUUAGCCUUCCUCUCUCCUGAGGAUAAAGAUGAUGAGCUCAUCAAGUCAUCAUAACAAGUGAGGAGAAUAACCAAGACGAAGAAAGGACAGGUGAAUCUCCAAAGAAAUAGAGUUUGAGUAAGAUCUGGACCAAAAAAUAGAUGCUUAUCAGAAUUAUUC
Long non-coding RNA from Centrocercus urophasianus (Greater sage-grouse), 778 nucleotides. RefSeq lists it as uncharacterized. NCBI's taxonomy places the organism in Eukaryota, Metazoa, Chordata, Aves, Galliformes, Phasianidae. The record is from RefSeq and is a predicted model, not a curated record. The transcript is spliced from 7 exons.